GAUGAAGAACGUAGCGAAAUACGAUAAUAAAUGUGAAUUGCAGAAUUCCGUGAAUCAUCGAGUCUUUGAACGCACAUUGCGCCUCAUGGCAUUCCGUGAGGCAUGCCCAUCUCAGCGUUAGAAAAUAUUCUCAAAUUUUAGUUUUGUGCUAAAAUUUGGAUCAUGUCAAGGAAGCUAUUACUAUUAUUGUGAUCGCUCUUUGGAAAUUGAUAGGUCUUUGAGUUGCUACUCAUAGAACGUGAUGAAUCUUUCUUCGUUCUAUUGUAAUUCACUCUGGUAGUCCUAAAACUUGUAUGCCUGUGGCAUAUCUUGUAAUUUGACCUGAGAUUGGGUAGGGAUACCCGCUGAACUUAAGCAUAUCAAUAAGCGGAGGA
This 374-nucleotide unclassified non-coding RNA is filed under the name soil metagenome. RNAcentral describes it as "partial contains internal transcribed spacer 2 and large subunit ribosomal RNA". The stretch from base 1 to 120 matches the Rfam family "5.8S ribosomal RNA", at positions 35 to 154 of the family's 154-position model. The record is from RNAcentral.